Molecule: ribosomal RNA, 454 nt
Filed under: uncultured bacterium
Lineage: Bacteria
Description: bacterial SSU rRNA
Rfam family: Bacterial small subunit ribosomal RNA
Source: RNAcentral
CGGCGGACGGGUGAGUAACGCGUGGGUAACCUACCCCAAAGUCCGGGAUAACAGCGGGAAACCGCUGCUAAUACCGGAUGUCUUUACCUUGGGGCAUCUUGAGGUAAAGAAAGGUAACGCUUUGGGAUGGGCCCGCGUCCCAUUAGCUAGUUGGUGAGGUAACGGCUCACCAAGGCGACGAUGGGUAGCCGGCCUGAGAGGGUGGACGGCCACACUGGGACUGAGACACGGCCCAGACUCCUACGGAAGGCAGCAGUAGGGAAUAUUGCGCAAUGGACGGAAGUCUGACGCAGCGACGCCGCGUGAGCGAUGAAGGUCUUCGGAUCGUAAAGCUCUGUCCUUGGGGAAGAAGGCGAAAGCUUGACGGUACCCAAGAAGAAAGCCCCGGCUAACUACGUGCCAGCAGCCGCGGUAAUACGUAGGGGGCGAGCGUUGUCCGGAAUUACUGGGCGUA